Long non-coding RNA from Topomyia yanbarensis, 1300 nucleotides. RefSeq lists it as uncharacterized. The transcript has 3 exons. The record is from RefSeq and is a predicted model, not a curated record. NCBI's taxonomy places the organism in Eukaryota, Metazoa, Arthropoda, Insecta, Diptera, Culicidae.
CGACGCCCUUUAUUCGCAAUUACAUGGCAGUGAAACUAAUGAUCAUUCCCUCGCGCAUCUGUCAAUACGGGCCAGUUUGCUAUUGAGUGCUAGAAGUGUUAUAGGACGAAACAGAGACGGCAUAGAAAAAUGCCGUAGUCCUUGAAAUUAAAUGUUAGCGGAACUAGUACAGGGAACAGAAAGAACACUGAAAUCUUUGAAGCCGCUGUAUAGCAGGACUAUCAAAACGGUGUUUCCUUUCAAAACUAGCCGCAACAAACUUCAAAGAUUUCAACUUAACUAUGUUGAAAUCUCAAUCAAACGGGCUGUGGCCGACGACGGUGGAUAUCAGAUGCAGCCAAUCAUUAUGGGAUUCAUCAAUUAUAGGAUCAAGCGAACGAUUGCAAAUUUUGGAGCAACGGUUACAAAGGCUAGAAAGUGAACAGUUGCUGCAAAAUGAACAAUGGGAAAAAGAACGCCGUGUGAGAGAACGAGAGUACGAUCGUCAAAUAGUUGAAAUGGAGCAAAAGUACAACCUCAUAUCAGCCACGAUCCAGGAGGAUUACGAACGCAAGCUUGCUGAUAUUCGGCAAAAAUAUGCACGUGAAUCAGUUGCUAUGCAGUGCAAAGACGUGCGAAACCCACCUAACGAACCCAAAACUUUAUAUCGAGAUCGAUCAAAAAAUAUUGCGGGUGAGACGAUCACCCGAGAGAAGGCGAAACCAUGUAACAAUAAGGAGCAGGCAAAUGAAAUACUUCAAAUAUUGUUCAUCUCUGUACGGCAUGGAAACCCGUCCCUACGUUUUAGAGAUAGCGCAAAACAGUUUGAUCAAUAUUACUGUUUUUCAGUUGUUGUGCUUGUUGUAAUCGCAGACGAAAUAUCUUAUAUUGCACGGUGGGAGCAAAGUAUUCUGCUCGCCGAUAAUGAGAAAUCUUACCCAAUAAGAAUUUGGGACCCUGGAUCUGACUUAACAAGUUGUUUUAUGUAAAAUAUGCAUCUCUGUGCUACUCGCGAGAUGGAUUAGUUCACGGGUGGAGGUAUGUUGCGACGCCCUUUAUUCGCAAUUAUAUGGCAGUGAAACUAAUGAUCAUUCCCUCGCGCAUCUGUCAAUACGGGCCAGUUUGCUAUUGAGUGCUAGAAGUGUUAUAGGACGAAACAGAGACGGCAUAGAAAAAUGCCGUAGUCCUCGAAAUUAAAUGUUAGCGGAACUAGUACAGGGAACAGAAAGAACACUGAAAUCUUUGAAGCCGCUGUAUAUCAGGACUAUCAAAACGAUGUUUCCUUUCAAAACUAGCCGCAACAGUCGUCAAACAUUUUGUA